RNAcentral lists this ribosomal RNA (956 nucleotides) under Klebsiella pneumoniae. Its description in RNAcentral is "bacterial SSU rRNA". It matches the Rfam family "Bacterial small subunit ribosomal RNA", at positions 577 to 1533 of the family's 1533-position model. Lineage: Bacteria; Pseudomonadati; Pseudomonadota; Gammaproteobacteria; Enterobacterales; Enterobacteriaceae. The record is from RNAcentral.
GGUCUGUCAAGUCGGAUGUGAAAUCCCCGGGCUUAACCUGGGAACUGCAUUCGAAACUGGCAGGCUAGAGUCUUGUAGAGGGGGGUAGAAUUCCAGGUGUAGCGGUGAAAUGCGUAGAGAUCUGGAGGAAUACCGGUGGCGAAGGCGGCCCCCUGGACAAAGACUGACGCUCAGGUGCGAAAGCGUGGGGAGCAAACAGGAUUAGAUACCCUGGUAGUCCACGCCGUAAACGAUGUCGAUUUGGAGGUUGUGCCCUUGAGGCGUGGCUUCCGGAGCUAACGCGUUAAAUCGACCGCCUGGGGAGUACGGCCGCAAGGUUAAAACUCAAAUGAAUUGACGGGGGCCCGCACAAGCGGUGGAGCAUGUGGUUUAAUUCGAUGCAACGCGAAGAACCUUACCUGGUCUUGACAUCCACAGAACUUUCCAGAGAUGGAUUGGUGCCUUCGGGAACUGUGAGACAGGUGCUGCAUGGCUGUCGUCAGCUCGUGUUGUGAAAUGUUGGGUUAAGUCCCGCAACGAGCGCAACCCUUAUCCUUUGUUGCCAGCGGUCCGGCCGGGAACUCAAAGGAGACUGCCAGUGAUAAACUGGAGGAAGGUGGGGAUGACGUCAAGUCAUCAUGGCCCUUACGACCAGGGCUACACACGUGCUACAAUGGCAUAUACAAAGAGAAGCGACCUCGCGAGAGCAAGCGGACCUCAUAAAGUAUGUCGUAGUCCGGAUUGGAGUCUGCAACUCGACUCCAUGAAGUCGGAAUCGCUAGUAAUCGUAGAUCAGAAUGCUACGGUGAAUACGUUCCCGGGCCUUGUACACACCGCCCGUCACACCAUGGGAGUGGGUUGCAAAAGAAGUAGGUAGCUUAACCUUCGGGAGGGCGCUUACCACUUUGUGAUUCAUGACUGGGGUGAAGUCGUAACAAGGUAACCGUAGGGGAACCUGCGGUUGGAUCACCUCCUUA